This 245-nucleotide ribosomal RNA is filed under the name uncultured Prevotellaceae bacterium. RNAcentral's name for it is "partial 16S ribosomal RNA". It matches the Rfam family "Bacterial small subunit ribosomal RNA", at positions 524 to 769 of the family's 1533-position model. The record is from RNAcentral. Lineage: Bacteria; Pseudomonadati; Bacteroidota; Bacteroidia; Bacteroidales; Prevotellaceae.
UACGGAAGGUCCGGGCGUUAUCCGGAUUUAUUGGGUUUAAAGGGAGCGCAGACGGCCUUGCAAGCGUGCAGUGAAAGCCCGGGGCUCACCCCCGGCGAGCUGCGCGAACUGCUGGGCUUGAGUGCGCGGAACGCGGGCGGAAUUCGUGGUGUAGCGGUGAAAUGCUUAGAUAUCACGAGGAACUCCGAUUGCGAAGGCAGCCCGCGGCAGCGCUACUGACGUUCAUGCUCGAAGGCGCGGGUAUC